UCGCGACGAGAGCAGGCUGAGAGAGCUAGCGAGAUAAACUCUAUUCAUCGCUGGCAACUGUAUUCGUCGUGAGAUUCGCUAGAAUUGCGAAGUUAGCUCUUUCAAAGCGUUUCUCUUAAAUGAAAGUUUGAAAGGUUUCUUGCCUGGCUGAGAGCUUGCAGUUUUUCCUCUGGACUCCUUUCAAAAUGUAAGUCUCCGAUCGUGUCAAGAGAAAGAAAGAAUCUAUAAAUCACAAAAUAACCUUACCUAAUGCUUGCAGAGAGGUUUGUGAUGGAAUGAAUGGACGCUGUCUGGAGGUCCAGCUCUUGUCCGCGGCUCACCAGCGAUGUAGCAGUAGUGGGUUCUAGUCCAAGUUUGCGCUGCAGCAGCGACACCACCAAAUGCUACGCCGAGGCGUUGCGAAGAUGCGGGAGCAGCCAGAACCUCUGGGAAGGCAAGAGGCUCCACUUCCUCCUCAAGUCCCGCGGCUACGACGGCGAUACGUUUCUCGGGAAUUUGCUCGUCCAGAUGUAUGGUAAAUGCGGCGAGCUGGAUCAAGCGCGAAGUGCCUUCGACCGGAUAGUCACCAGGAACGUCUUCUCUUAGACAAUCCUCUACUUCUAGAACGGGCUCUUAGCGCUUCGUAGUUUUAGGGUUUGUACUUUCCGUUUUAUUACCAAUU
RNAcentral lists this long non-coding RNA (661 nucleotides) under Selaginella moellendorffii. RNAcentral's name for it is "long non-coding RNA (SMOE_LNC000579)". The record is from RNAcentral. Lineage: Eukaryota; Viridiplantae; Streptophyta; Lycopodiopsida; Selaginellales; Selaginellaceae.